UACAGAGGUGGCAAGCGUUGUUCGGAAUUACUGGGCGUAAAGGGCGCGUAGGCGGCCUUGUAAGUCUCGUGUGAAAGCCCUCGGCUUAACUGAGGAUCUGCACGGGAUACUGCGAGGCUUGAGUUCGGGAGAGGAAAGCGGAAUUCCGGGUGUAGCGGUGAAAUGCGUAGAUAUUCGGAAGAACACCAGUGGCGAAGGCGGCUCACUGGUCCGGUACUGACGCUGAUGUGCGAAAGCGUGGGGAGCAAACAGG
RNAcentral lists this ribosomal RNA (253 nucleotides) under uncultured bacterium. RNAcentral's name for it is "partial 16S ribosomal RNA". It matches the Rfam family "Bacterial small subunit ribosomal RNA", at positions 524 to 776 of the family's 1533-position model. The record is from RNAcentral.